CUGAUGUUUUAAAUGUUCUCAGAAUCCACAUGUAAAUCUUUGUCUACGGGAGAAAGCUCAAAAUAAACAAAAGAGAGAGCAGCUGGAACACUUGUGGAAGGACAUGGGCAGCGUGUGUGUGCAGGGCAGCACACUGGCAGGACCUGAUGCUUCUGCAAUGGGUCCCUCUGAGCUAAUACUAACAUGAGGAACUCUCGAUGAAGAGCAAGAAGAGAGGGAGAGUGACGCUGAUGGCAUUGACCACGAAGGUAAGGGAAUGAGGUCUAAAAGCUGCCUCUCAAGAAAUCCCCUCUAUAUUUCAUGUCCUGGAUGGACUGUAAGGAGAGCCUAGAAAACAAGCAAACAUUCAGUCACCUGACGUGUCAGAAUCUGUAGCAGAAGCUCAGCUGCAAUGGUCAGUGCAGGGAUAUCACUCUGUAACCUUUGUGAAAGUUCAAUUGUAAAUUUUCUAUUCAAGUAAUUAAUAGGUGUAUAACACACAUAAACCAGAGAACUCGUUAGGCUUGGGGCAUGCAGUGACCUCUGAACCUGAUUGAUGCACAGAUGUGUCCAUCAUCUUUUUGGCCUUACAGUUUCUGCCCCUGGCUCUCUUCCCUUUUCCUGUGACUGUGGUCUUGGAGCAAUCUUCUAAGUUGUUACAGUGUGAUUUUUCUCUUCUAUAGCUCACAGACUUAAUCUUCAUUCUUUCCCUGUUCCACUGAUGGGUAGGAUCACUUAUUUCCUUUGCCCUGUAAUGUAGCUGAAGAUGGAAUAGACUUUCUAUGUUGCUUUGGCUA
This is a long non-coding RNA of Pseudopipra pipra, 776 nucleotides long. RefSeq lists it as uncharacterized. The transcript has 2 exons. NCBI's taxonomy places the organism in Eukaryota, Metazoa, Chordata, Aves, Passeriformes, Pipridae. The record is from RefSeq and is a predicted model, not a curated record.